This 559-nucleotide long non-coding RNA is filed under the name Catharus ustulatus (Swainson's thrush). RNAcentral describes it as "lncRNA (ENSCUSG00005002624.1)". Lineage: Eukaryota; Metazoa; Chordata; Aves; Passeriformes; Turdidae. The record is from RNAcentral.
UUACAGUUUCAGACUGUAGCUCAGGCUCAGGACACACAGUGCAGUCCCUUAGUUUUGUUUUUGCUUUAUCUUUCCUUUUUUUUUUUUUUUUUUUUUUUUAAACUCACAGACAGCACAAGAAUUUUAAGAAUAUGCAGUAUGUCAAAAUUGGCACCUCUAAGCCUUCUCAGACAAGAGGAAUGGUUUUCCUGCAGCUCCCCAUCCUCCUCUGCCUGGAUUAGCCACGGACAAACAAAAGCAGUGGAUUUUAUCCACGGCUGGGUUGCCUAAAACAGGGCUGGGUGACAUACAAGACAGGCCAGGAAUAUUCAUCUUGGGCCAGAGAAACUUGGAAGCCAAUCCUGGGUCCCACUCCAACCUUUGCCUCAAGUUUCCUGUGAGGUCUGAAUGCUGGACUUUCAGAAGUGCUGUGAGCCUGGGUACAAUUUGUUUGGCACAUUUGGCCUAGGAUUCCAAAGGUAUGUUCAGUCCUUCUUACACACAAUCUAGCCUUAUAAACCCUCUUUGUGAAUAGACUUAUCUUGAAAUACUGUCUUUAUGCUCUCAUAACUUCUACUUU